UGCGUAGGUGGUGAUGCAAGUCUGGUGUGAAAUCUCGGAGCUUAACUCCGAAAUGCACCGGAUACUGCGUAACUCGAGGACUGUAGAGGAGAUCGGAAUUCACGGUGUAGCAGUGAAAUGCGUAGAUAUCGUGAGGAAGACCAGUUGCGAAGGCGGAUCUCUGGGCAGUUCCUGACACUGAGGCACGAAGGCCAGGGGAGCAAACG
Molecule: ribosomal RNA, 206 nt
Filed under: uncultured bacterium
Lineage: Bacteria
Description: partial 16S ribosomal RNA
Rfam family: Bacterial small subunit ribosomal RNA
Source: RNAcentral